UACAGAGGUCUCAAGCGUUGUUCGGAUUCAUUGGGCGUAAAGCGCGUGUAGGCGGCCCGGUAAGUCCGCUGUGAAAGUCCAGGGCUCAACCCUGGGAUGCCGGUGGAUACUGUCGGGCUCGAGUCCGGAAGAGGAAAGUGGAAUUCCUGGUGUAGCGGUGAAAUGCGCAGAUAUUAGGAAGAACACCCGUGGCGAAGGCGGCUUUCUGGGACGGUACUGACGCUGAGACGCGAAAGCGUGGGGAGCGAACAGG
RNAcentral lists this ribosomal RNA (253 nucleotides) under uncultured bacterium. RNAcentral's name for it is "partial 16S ribosomal RNA". It matches the Rfam family "Bacterial small subunit ribosomal RNA", at positions 524 to 776 of the family's 1533-position model. The record is from RNAcentral.